UUGUAAAACAAAGCCAGGGCGAAAGAU
RNAcentral lists this small RNA (27 nucleotides) under Bombyx mori (domestic silkworm). Its description in RNAcentral is "piRNA piR-bmo-1943913". Lineage: Eukaryota; Metazoa; Arthropoda; Insecta; Lepidoptera; Bombycidae. The record is from RNAcentral.